This 253-nucleotide ribosomal RNA is filed under the name uncultured bacterium. Its description in RNAcentral is "partial 16S ribosomal RNA". It matches the Rfam family "Bacterial small subunit ribosomal RNA", at positions 524 to 776 of the family's 1533-position model. The record is from RNAcentral.
UACGUAGGGUGCAAGCGUUGUCCGGAAUUAUUGGGCGUAAAGAGCUCGUAGGCGGUCUGUCGCGUCGAAUGUGAAAACCCGGGGCUCAACCCCGGGCCUGCAUUCGAUACGGGCAGACUAGAGUUCGGUAGGGGAGUCUGGAAUUCCUGGUGUAGCGGUGAAAUGCGCAGAUAUCAGGAGGAACCCCGGUGGCGAAGGCGGGACUCUGGGCCGAUACUGACGCUGAGGAGCGAAAGCGUGGGGAGCGAACAGG